GAGGGUAUAGCUCUGUGGUAAAGUGCAUGCCUAGCAUGCACGAGGUCCCGGGUUCAAUCCCUGGUACCUCCA
This 72-nucleotide transfer RNA is filed under the name Camelus bactrianus (Bactrian camel). It matches the Rfam family "tRNA". From Rfam's summary of the family: Transfer RNA (tRNA) molecules are approximately 80 nucleotides in length. Their secondary structure includes four short double-helical elements and three loops (D, anti-codon, and T loops). Lineage: Eukaryota; Metazoa; Chordata; Mammalia; Artiodactyla; Camelidae. The record is from Rfam by way of RNAcentral. RNAcentral also lists the same sequence under 2 other names.